Molecule: long non-coding RNA, 415 nt
Organism: Oncorhynchus tshawytscha (Chinook salmon)
Lineage: Eukaryota; Metazoa; Chordata; Actinopteri; Salmoniformes; Salmonidae
Source: Ensembl
GCAGAAACGGGAAGUCAUGUUGCAGGCGCGUAACUCGACAAACAGAAUGGACAGUAGGUUGUGCAUGGGAGGUAAAUAUUCGAUGUACGUACCAUUGCAGAGCUGCAUUUAGGUGUGCCCCACACACACAGGCACAUGGGUACACACACACAGGCACAUGGGUACACACACACACUCACACACAGGCACAUGGGUACACACACACACACAGGCACAUGGGUACACACACACACACUCACACACGCAGGCACAUGGGUACACACACACACACAGGCACAUGGGUACACACACACACACUCACACACACAGGCACAUGGGUACACACACACACACUCACACACACAGGCACAUGGGUACACACACACACAGGCAGAUGGGUACACACACACACGUCUGCUGCGUAGGAUGACCUGGU